RNAcentral lists this ribosomal RNA (468 nucleotides) under uncultured bacterium. Its description in RNAcentral is "partial 16S ribosomal RNA". It matches the Rfam family "Bacterial small subunit ribosomal RNA", at positions 28 to 507 of the family's 1533-position model. The record is from RNAcentral.
GACGAACGCUGGCGGCGUGCCUAACACAUGCAAGUCGAACGGAAAGGCCCUGCUUUUGUGGGGUGCUCGAGUGGCGAACGGGUGAGUAACACGUGAGUAACCUGCCCUUGACUUUGGGAUAACUUCAGGAAACUGGGGCUAAUACCGGAUAGGAGCUCCUGCUGCAUGGUGGGGGUUGGAAAGUUUCGGCGGUUGGGGAUGGACUCGCGGCUUAUCAGCUUGUUGGUGGGGUAGUGGCUUACCAAGGCUUUGACGGGUAGCCGGCCUGAGAGGGUGACCGGCCACAUUGGGACUGAGAUAUGGCCCAGACUCCUACGGGAGGCAGCAGUGGGGAAUAUUGCACAAUGGGCGGAAGCCUGAUGCAGCAACGCCGCGUGCGGGAUGACGGCCUUCGGGUUGUAAACCGCUUUCGCCUGUGACGAAGCGUGAGUGACGGUAAUGGGUAAAGAAGCACCGGCUAACUACGUG